GGAUGUGAGGGCAAUCUGGCUGCGACAUCUGUCACCCCAUUGAUCGCCAGGGUUGAUUGGGCUGAUCUGGCUGGCUAGGCUGGUGUCCCCUUCCUCCCUCACCACUCCAUGUGAGUCCCUCCCAAAGCUGAGUACUGGGUCUAAAAGAAUGGCCUUCCCUGAAUAGAGACAGACUGGUCUUAGGUUGAGGGUAUAGAAGUAGCUGCACUCCCUUGCAAGAACCUCCAAACAGACUCUUAAGAUAUUGUUAGACAGUCUCCUGUAUAUAUGAUAAAAAAUACUGAAAAAUUUUAGAAGGAAUUUAUGUGAUUAUUUUA
Molecule: small nuclear RNA, 317 nt
Filed under: Erinaceus europaeus (western European hedgehog)
Lineage: Eukaryota; Metazoa; Chordata; Mammalia; Eulipotyphla; Erinaceidae
Description: 7SK RNA
Rfam family: 7SK RNA
About the family: 7SK was discovered as an abundant small nuclear RNA in the mid-70s but a possible function has only recently been suggested. Two independent studies have found that 7SK RNA binds the CDK9/cyclin T complex (known as elongation factor P-TEFb).
Source: Rfam by way of RNAcentral